GGCAGUAUAGCUCAGUAGUAGGGAAUGUGUUUACCAUUCAUAAGGCCCUGGGCUCCAUUCCCAGCACUCCCU
Molecule: transfer RNA, 72 nt
Filed under: Fukomys damarensis (Damara mole-rat)
Lineage: Eukaryota; Metazoa; Chordata; Mammalia; Rodentia; Bathyergidae
Rfam family: tRNA
About the family: Transfer RNA (tRNA) molecules are approximately 80 nucleotides in length. Their secondary structure includes four short double-helical elements and three loops (D, anti-codon, and T loops). Further hydrogen bonds mediate the characteristic L-shaped molecular structure. tRNAs have two regions of fundamental functional importance: the anti-codon, which is responsible for specific mRNA codon recognition, and the 3' end, to which the tRNAs corresponding amino acid is attached (by aminoacyl-tRNA synthetases). tRNAs cope with the degeneracy of the genetic code in two manners: having more than one tRNA (with a specific anti-codon) for a particular amino acid; and 'wobble' base-pairing, i.e. permitting non-standard base-pairing at the 3rd anti-codon position.
Source: Rfam by way of RNAcentral